RNAcentral lists this long non-coding RNA (1086 nucleotides) under Toxoplasma gondii VEG. Lineage: Eukaryota; Apicomplexa; Conoidasida; Eucoccidiorida; Sarcocystidae. The record is from RNAcentral.
CAGCCCUCUAACACGUCUUACAUCUUACCAUUCAGAAGAAGAACACCCCACAAACACACCGAACUUGUGGUUGUCAUCCGUAAUAGCUUGUAGACCGGCGGACUCGAAUGCCUCGUGCGACAGCUCAAGAAGCAUUCGUUGCUGUGGAUCCAUCCUUCUUGCCUGAAUUCAGGAAAACAAAAACUGUUUGACACUGCUGAUGUCCCCUACUCUUCAUCAUCCGGCGGGAAAAGUAUCUGCGGCAGCACUCAGUGACGCCAUGACCUGCGUUGGUAGCAAUCUUCGCUCGGCACUGUUGCUCUGUUUGAGCUCGCAGAUGUGGAAGACGAACGAGCUAAAGCUCUCGUAAUCCUUCGCCGCGAGUGGCCCGAUUGGCACUUCGAACUGAACCGACACACGGUUGAGAAACUCUGCGAAUGUGAUAUCAUCUUGACGAACAGCGCAGAAGCGGUACUCAGCGUCAGUCCUUUGGUUGGGGGUGUCCUCGCUGUCUGGCUCAGUUACAGCCUCAAGACAGGAUAGUAAAGCCUGAGUGAGGUCAGACGCCAUUGUUUGUGAACGUCCAGUUUUUCUAUAUUCAGUAGCAGCAGUUUCACAUGUUUCAACGAGGUUGUUCUUCUCUCUAAUCAGAAGAUGGGCGUCUCAGAAGUCAACCUCAUUCCGCAUCAUAUAUAACAACUUCACACGCAGAUUCGGGAACUCAUAAACAAUGCGCAUGACAUGAAAUAUUUGUUGGCUCCGCUGGGGCCAGUAGUUGGCUAAUCACAUGAUAAGCUCUCAACCACAUAGUACUGACCUGCUAUUCUGUUACACGGUAGAACAGUUUUCACAAGAAAAGAAGGCCGGUUAGCGUUCUGUCUACACAUCGUUCAAAACGUGUUCCCCAGCUCCGGUGUCAGUUUGCAAGAGUCCUGUGAUUUCCUGCUGGCUCACCUGCCAGUUUUUGACCCGUAACGGAGCCAGCACGGUCUGGGUAGUGUCCUGCUGCCAUUAACGCGGUAACUCCACAUCUGGUACGAGUGAGGUUGUUAUCUCCUACUAAAUCGCGACUCCAAUGCUGCUUCCUCCCAUCAAUUAAUUUCUCCG